This 215-nucleotide long non-coding RNA is filed under the name Cottoperca gobio. Its description in RNAcentral is "lncRNA (ENSCGOG00000012461.1)". Lineage: Eukaryota; Metazoa; Chordata; Actinopteri; Perciformes; Bovichtidae. The record is from RNAcentral.
AGGGAGAGCCUGGUGAGGGCGGACCACCUGGAAUCGUUGGAGAAUCUGGAAAGAAGGGUCCUCGUGGAGAACGCGGAGAAAAGGGAGAGGGCGGACAACCUGGAACUGCUGGACCUGCUGGAGGACGAGGACGGCCUGGAGAUGACGGACCCAAAGGAAACCCUGGUCCUGUUGGUUUCCCUGGUGACCCCGGUCCCACUGGUGAGCUUGGACCC